Molecule: ribosomal RNA, 481 nt
Filed under: uncultured Actinomycetes bacterium
Lineage: Bacteria; Bacillati; Actinomycetota; Actinomycetes
Description: bacterial SSU rRNA
Rfam family: Bacterial small subunit ribosomal RNA
Source: RNAcentral
GACGAACGCUGGCGGCGUGCUUAACACAUGCAAGUCGAACGGAAAGGCUUCCAGUUUUGCUGGGGGUACUCGAGUGGCGAACGGGUGAGUAACACGUGGGUGAUCUGCCUUGCACUUCGGGAUAAGCUUGGGAAACUGGGUCUAAUACCGGAUAGGAGCAAUCUUUGGUGUGGUUGUUGGAAAGAUUUUUUCGGUGUGGGAUGAGCUCGCGGCCUAUCAGCUUGUUGGUGGGGUAAUGGCCUACCAAGGCGUCGACGGGUAGCCGGCCUGAGAGGGUGUACGGCCACAUUGGGACUGAGAUACGGCCCAGACUCCUACGGGAGGCAGCAGUGGGGAAUAUUGCACAAUGGGCGCAAGCCUGAUGCAGCGACGCCGCGUGGGGGAUGACGGCCUUCGGGUUGUAAACCUCUUUUACCACUCACGAAGGCUCCCAGUGUUCUGGGGGUUGACGGUAGGUGGUGAAUAAGGACCGGCUAACUAC